This 468-nucleotide ribosomal RNA is filed under the name uncultured bacterium. Its description in RNAcentral is "partial 16S ribosomal RNA". It matches the Rfam family "Bacterial small subunit ribosomal RNA", at positions 28 to 507 of the family's 1533-position model. The record is from RNAcentral.
GACGAACGCUGGCGGCGUGCUUAACACAUGCGAGUCGAACGGAAAGGCCCUGCUUUUGUGGGGUGCUCGAGUGGCGAACGGGUGAGAAACACGUGAGUAACCUGCCCUUGACUUUGGGAUAACUUCAGGAAAUUGGGGCUAAUACCGGAUAGGAGCUCCUGCUGCAUGGUGGGGGUUGGAAAGUUUCGGCGGUUGGGGAUGGACUCGCGGCUUAUCAGCUUGUUGGUGGGGUAGUGGCUUACCAAGGCUUUGACGGGUAGCCGGCCUGAGAGGGUGACCGGCCACAUUGGGACUGAGAUACGGCCCAGACUCCUACGGGAGGCAGCAGUGGGGAAUAUUGCACAAUGGGCGGAAGCCUGAUGCAGCAACGCCGCGUGCGGGAUGACGGCCUUCGGGUUGUAAACCGCUUUCGCCUGUGACGAAGCGUGAGUGACGGUAAUGGGUAAAGAAGCACCGGCUAACUACGUG